AGGCUGUACACUAUGGAUGGACACGUAGCCGUAUGUGCCUGCUUGUUGCUCGUCUUUAUGUGGACAGGGCUAGCAAAUUGCUAUUGUUCAGACGACAAUGAUUGCCCCUAUCUUUGGAAACCACGAUGUUACAACGACUCAACCCGUAGUUACUGCACAAAUAGUGAAAUUUGUCAGCAGGAUGCAGAUUGUGCAUUUGAUUUGCUAUCCUGCAUGGGCGGUUCUUGUCAACCAAAAAGCUGCUCAACGGAUGACGAUUGCCAUGGCGACAAUUCUGCGUGUUUCUUUGGAACAUGCUUUUGUAAACAUGGAUUUAGAAGAAUGGAAGAAGCAUGUGUUUCUGUCGUUGGUUUAAAAUGCUACCCAUACGGUGGUGAUAUCGGUUGCAACCCAUCGCUGGUUGAACAAAUUUGGAUGUAUGGCUCACCACAAGUUAUCAGCCAUGACUAUGUGUGUGACACAAAAACACACACGUGUCAAUGCGAUACAGAUGCUCUUAAAGAAAUAAACGGAGUUUGUA
Dreissena polymorpha is the source of this 520-nucleotide long non-coding RNA. RefSeq lists it as uncharacterized. The transcript is spliced from 5 exons. NCBI's taxonomy places the organism in Eukaryota, Metazoa, Mollusca, Bivalvia, Myida, Dreissenidae. The record is from RefSeq and is a predicted model, not a curated record.